RNAcentral lists this transfer RNA (93 nucleotides) under Coniochaeta sp. 2T2.1. It matches the Rfam family "tRNA". Rfam says of the family: Transfer RNA (tRNA) molecules are approximately 80 nucleotides in length. Their secondary structure includes four short double-helical elements and three loops (D, anti-codon, and T loops). Further hydrogen bonds mediate the characteristic L-shaped molecular structure. tRNAs have two regions of fundamental functional importance: the anti-codon, which is responsible for specific mRNA codon recognition, and the 3' end, to which the tRNAs corresponding amino acid is attached (by aminoacyl-tRNA synthetases). tRNAs cope with the degeneracy of the genetic code in two manners: having more than one tRNA (with a specific anti-codon) for a particular amino acid; and 'wobble' base-pairing, i.e. permitting non-standard base-pairing at the 3rd anti-codon position. The record is from Rfam by way of RNAcentral. Lineage: Eukaryota; Fungi; Ascomycota; Sordariomycetes; Coniochaetales; Coniochaetaceae.
GCCUGUUUGGCGCAGUGGUAGUCGCGUCUCACUUGUACUCCUAGUUCUACAAGGGAAAUGAGAAGGUCGCUCGUUCAAUCCGGGCAAUAGGCA